AUUGAACGCUGGCGGCAUGCCUUACACAUGCAAGUCGAACGGUAACAGGUCUUCGGAUGCUGACGAGUGGCGAACGGGUGAGUAAUACAUCGGAACGUGCCUAGUAAUGGGGGAUAACUACUCGAAAGAGUGGCUAAUACCGCAUGAGAUCUACGGAUGAAAGCAGGGGAUCGCAAGACCUUGUGCUACUGGAGCGGCCGAUGGCAGUUUAGGUAGUUGGUGGGAUAAAAGCUUACCAAGCCGACGAUCUGUAGCUGGUCUGAGAGGACGAUCAGCCACACUGGGACUGAGACACGGCCCAGACUCCUACGGGAGGCAGCAGUGGGGAAUUUUGGACAAUGGGCGAAAGCCUGAUCCAGCAAUGCCGCGUGCAGGAUGAAGGCCUUCGGGUUGUAAACUGCUUUUGUACGGAACGAAAAGCCCCGGGUUAAUACCCUGGGGUCAUGACGGUACCGUAAGAAUAAGCACCGGCUAACUACGUGCCAGCCGCCGCUGUAA
This 498-nucleotide ribosomal RNA is filed under the name uncultured bacterium. RNAcentral describes it as "partial 16S ribosomal RNA". It matches the Rfam family "Bacterial small subunit ribosomal RNA", at positions 30 to 523 of the family's 1533-position model. The record is from RNAcentral.